AUUGAACGCUGGCGGCAGGCUUAACACAUGCAAGUCGAGCGGUAGCACAGGGGAGCUUGCUCCCUGGGUGACGAGCGGCGGACGGGUGAGUAAUGUCUGGGAAACUGCCUGAUGGAGGGGGAUAACUACUGGAAACGGUAGCUAAUACAGCAUAACGUCGCAAGACCAAAGAGGGGGACCUUCGGGCCUCUUGCCAUCAGAUGUGCCCAGAUGGGAUUAGCUAGUAGGUGGGGUAAUGGCUCACCUAGGCGACGAUCCCUAGCUGGUCUGAGAGGAUGACCAGCCACACUGGAACUGAGACACGGUCCAGACUCCUACGGGAGGCAGCAGUGGGGAAUAUUGCACAAUGGGCGCAAGCCUGAUGCAGCCAUGCCGCGUGUGUGAAGAAGGCCUUCGGGUUGUAAAGCACUUUCAGCGAGGAGGAAGGUGGUGAACUUAAUACGUUCAUCAAUUGACGUUACUCGCAGAAGAAGCACCGGCUAACUCCGUG
Molecule: ribosomal RNA, 490 nt
Filed under: uncultured bacterium
Lineage: Bacteria
Description: partial 16S ribosomal RNA
Rfam family: Bacterial small subunit ribosomal RNA
Source: RNAcentral